Sardina pilchardus (European sardine) is the source of this 1804-nucleotide long non-coding RNA. RefSeq lists it as uncharacterized. The transcript has 2 exons. Lineage: Eukaryota; Metazoa; Chordata; Actinopteri; Clupeiformes; Clupeidae. The record is from RefSeq and is a predicted model, not a curated record.
GUUUCCUCUACACAACAGAAAAGAUUGGCAAGAUGGAUGUCUUACUUGCUCAACCCAAACAUGACAGUGAUCGCAUCGAUCCUAGUAAAGGUUGCUUUUUUAUUUCACAAAAUCCGUCUCCUGUAUUUCCAAGCUAAGCCACAUCACCAAACAUCCCGGAAACAAAACUUACUGAGCAACGAUUGGACUACAGCGUGCUGCGCAACAGCAAGGGACCGUUUGCAAAAUCCAAUACUCCAACGACACGACGGUGAUGCUUGAGAGUGUGUGGUUCAAUGUUGUGUAGUGUGGCGUGCAUGACUGAUGAUCUCAAUAGAUGAUUGAAAAUUCAAACACUCGAGGUCAGUAACGCCGUGGCGUUUCAUCAUGGUACAACAGAGAGCUAAGGGACUUGACGUCAGGGUCAAUCUGAUCGUCAACUACGGCAGGCAACUGGGCCGCAGUCUGUUGCUUCUUGCCCACUACACCACACUUUUUGCACAGUUCCUGUCCAGCUCAGUGAGGUGUAUGGUAGAGGUGGCAAGGUGGACCUCACUGUUCGCUCGGGGCACAACAGCAGUGUUCGGGUCCAUCUACAGGCACCUGAACAGGCUGGGGAGGAGGACAGUCGAACCCUCAGUGCCACAGCGGUCCUCUUCGUCAGUGACUCGCAGCGUCAGUGAUCAUGAUGAGGUUGAGAGAUGAGGAGAGCAGCGCCCCAGUGUUGGUCGUUUCAACUCUGUCGACAGUGAAUGAGAAAAGCCUUAUGGAAAUUGUGAUAUUGGUAUUAUUUGAAAAAGAUGGGGGUGUAAUGAUGUGAGCGGGCCUAAAGUUCAGCUGCACCCAGGCUAGGAUUUUAGGUGCAUCACCUUUGUAUCAAAAUGAUGAACAACUGAGAAAUCUGCAUAGGCCAGAUAUGCACUACUAAUAUGUACUUUGUUGCAUCAUAUCUGUUUUAUAUUUCAUAUACAAUAUGUCCAUGUAUUUUUGUAUGUAGCCACACUGUAGGCCUAUAACCACUAAAAUAACAUUAUACUAAGAAAGCAGAGCUGAUACACCUCCAAAAUCCAGGGAAGACGUUUUUAUGUCCAGAGCCACUAAUGAUAUCCAGCACAUUGGUCAAUCCAGAAAGGGGCAUUGGAGCGCUCUGUCUUCUACUGUAGGCUACAAUCCAAGACCAGUGUGUCAGGCUACUCAUCCAAGGGGCCAAAACAAUAUAGCCUGCUUUUGAGCCAUGAUCAAUGUAGCAUUGAAUAUCACACAUGAAAGACUGUAAGAAUGUAAGAUUGUAAUAGAGCCAGUACCAUUUGAUGGAAAACAAAGAAGCAUUUUCUAUAUUCAAAUAUUCAGCACUAUACCACUAGUUGCUGCAGGUUAUGUAAUAGUUUGGUUGUUUUGUUUACUUUCUGUUGGUUUGGUUAUGCAGUUUAAGUAAGCGAGUUAGGAUUGUUUGAAGUUGAAUCAGAUCAUGGCUACAAGUAAUGAAACAACCCAAUGCAUAUGAUAUGACAUUUAUAUUACCAUUAUUUUCAUUCAUAUAAAAGUGGAAUUUAUGUUACUUACUUUUAUAACAUGCCAGCAUGUUUAACAUGUGUGCUAUAUUGUACUGAUCACUAACUAACAAUGUCAGAAAUCUUUUUAACAUGUAUUGGAAGUUUACAUUUCCUAUAACUGUUCUAAACUGAAUGUUUAAAGAUAUACAGUAUUUUAGACACCUGUGAUAUCCACAUGGAGAUAUGUUAACUUGAAUAUAUUCCAACAUUAAGAGGGCCACUAUUAAUGUAUGAAUUUCAAUUUGACUUUUCAAAUAAACUCAUCUUAAAAA